GAUUAACGCUGGCGGCGUGCCUAACACAUGCAAGUCGAACGAUGAAACUUAACUGAUUUCUUCGGAAUGAUUUUAAGUGGAUUAGUGGCGGACGGGUGAGUAACGCGUGAGUAACCUGCCUUGGAGAAGGGGAUAGCCUUUGGAAACGAAGAAUAAUACCCUAUGAUAUGAUAAUAUCUCAUGAUAUUAUCAUCAAAGAUUUAUCGCUCUAAGAUGGACUUGCGUCUGAUUAGUUAGUUGGAGAGGUAACAGCUCACCAAGGCAGCGAUCAGUAGCCGGCAUGGGAGAGUGGACGAGACCACUGCGACUGGGACAAGGGCCAGACUCCGACGGAAGGCAGCAGGGGGGAAUCAUGCACACUGGGGGAAACACGAAUGCAGCGGGGUCGCGAGAUUUAGAAGGCCUUCGGGAUGUAAAAAUCUUUUGUAUGGGAAGAAAAUGACGGUACCAUAAGAAUAAGGACCGGCUAAUUACGUG
This 477-nucleotide ribosomal RNA is filed under the name uncultured bacterium. Its description in RNAcentral is "partial 16S ribosomal RNA". It matches the Rfam family "Bacterial small subunit ribosomal RNA", at positions 28 to 507 of the family's 1533-position model. The record is from RNAcentral.